This is a long non-coding RNA of Sarcophilus harrisii (Tasmanian devil), 417 nucleotides long. RefSeq lists it as uncharacterized. The transcript has 3 exons. The record is from RefSeq and is a predicted model, not a curated record. NCBI's taxonomy places the organism in Eukaryota, Metazoa, Chordata, Mammalia, Dasyuromorphia, Dasyuridae.
UGGAAUUCAGAAGAGAACUGAAAAGGAGCCCUUAAUAAUCCUGCCCUCCUUCCUUACUGGCAUUUUUCUAAAGAAGGAAGGGAGCCAUCCACAUGACAAUUACUAUUUCAUGGAGAGGAAAAAGGAAAAAAACCAAAUUGAUACAUUGAAAAAGUCUGAAAAAUACUAUAUUACUGUAACAGUUGUACAGUCUCCACCUCCAAAAAGAGUAUCUACAUUCUCCAAUACAUUCUUCUCUCCAUCACUCUAUUAUCUCCAGAAGAUCCAAUUCCAGUUUCAGCUCUUACCAGAGAAUACAAUCUACUUAAAUCCAAUAAACAUUUAUCAGCUGGCUACAUGUGCUAAACUCUAUGCUAAGCUUUGGGGGUAAAAGUAAUAGAAAGGGGGUAGGUAGGUGUUGUAGUGGAUAGAGCACCA